RNAcentral lists this small RNA (790 nucleotides) under Drosophila virilis. RNAcentral's name for it is "GJ26507". The record is from RNAcentral. Lineage: Eukaryota; Metazoa; Arthropoda; Insecta; Diptera; Drosophilidae.
GUUGUAUACUUCACAGUACUUCUAUUAAAAUCGACAUAUUAAAUCGCAAAAAACAAAUUAUAUUAAAACAAAUUAUUUCUCGCACUUAAAAACGCACGAUAUAACAUUGCCGCAGAAAAGGUAGGCAUUAUGCGCAAUGGAACUGUCGAAGGCACCAAAUACACGCACGCUGCAGCCCUCUCACACGUGGUUUAUGGCUUAUUUCGCCUUUAUCCAUUUUUCUUGGGCCAUAAAUCUGUAUAUAUUAUAAUAAUUUUGUUUGGCGCAACCUACCUAAGUUGUACGUGAGAAAAACGGUGCACACAUUUUUGCAGCUACUGCAGGUGCUUAGCUAAUAAACAACCAGUUCAAGGUGUAUUCAAGCAUCCUACUCCACCGCUUAUCAAUUGCAUAGGGCGCUCCGUGCAUGGAUUACCUCGAAGUCGAACGUAGGAUAAUAUGUGCCGAUAUGUCGCUGCGGACUAUAUGGAUCGGUGGACCCAGCACCAUCAUUUGCGACAUUGCCGCUCACGUUCAUAGCUUUGGACGCACAUGGAACAUUUUAACAAGGACGUAAAUCAGCUUGGCAACAAUUUGCAGCCCAAUUUAAGCACUGGAACAAUAUGCAGCAUAAAAUCAUUGCAUACUUUUGUGGUGUGCGGAAAAGCAUAGCCGUAUAUUUUUGUUGAAUACUUUAGGGCAUAUUUAUUAAUUGUCAAGUUGAAAUUAAUCUCAUUAUCCAUAAGCAGGAUCUAUGUGAGCUUCCAUUAUUAUGUAUAAAACUGUUCUUUGUAACGAGAAACCAAUAAUA